GGGGGGGAUUUUCAGAUUCGUACCCCAGCCCCACCCUAACUUCGCCACUGCAUAAGGUCUAUUGAUUAUUAAAUAGCUCAAAAGUUAAGUGAAUAUCAUAAAGUGCUCAUUUUAUAAGUGGCAAAUUAAUCACCACUCAGUUUUUUUUUUUUUAAAACGGUGCAAAAAAACGAGAAGCCAUUGAUAAAAAUGUAUUCAGUCUUGCUUUGUUUUAGUUUUACCGCUGGCUACAAAAAUGAAACUAAAAGCGACGUCUUUACGGAAAUAUCCGAAAUCUAAAAAUGUAGGCUACAUGAAUCUGAAAACAAAAGCAAAAGAGUACGAGCAUAUGUUACAUUAAAUUUGAUGAGCCAACAUUUUAUGUAGGGCAGCAAAUCAAGUUAUUGUUACGAAUUAGUUCCACGUAUUCAGUGAUAGUAAUACUAAAAAUAAUAAUGAUAAAAUUAUUUUUAAAUUAGGAAAAAAAAAGGGGUAGAAGAUAGAUAGAAUAACAAAUGAGGCACUUGAAUGUCAACCAGUAGGCCUACACCGUCCCUUAACCUCCCACUGUUGCUUUACUUUCGAUCCUUGUAUUUAGGGUUUCCAGAUGUCCGGCAAAAGAAGCACACAUGUCCUCCAUUUUGAGGUCGUGUCCUCCGUCCGACAGGCGAAAAUGCCUGGCUUUUUCUCUGUCAUUACAUUUUAUCGAAGCCUCAGUUUCGUAUCUUGUGGUUUAAACUCACAUAAAUAAGAGAGAAACGUGAUUUGUUUAAUUUUUUUUUUUUCAUGAAGAAGUCAUAGGUGUUUCUUUAUGCAAGGAUCAGGGCCGGUCUUAUGUACUUGGAGGUCCUAGACUAGAUGAAUUGGGUGGCCUCAAAUAAAAUAGAAAAAUGAAAAAUUAAGACCGAAAAAUACGCAAUGAAUAAAAAGAAACCUUCAUGUAUCUAUAUUUAAAUCAACAAAUAAGUUAAAUUCAUAUAUUUUAAUUACCUUCUUUUAGUAAGAUUCUUAAACAUAUUUGUACAGAUGUCACGUAUAGGCCUUCCAAUUUUUCAGCUCAAUCCAAACACCGAUAGCACGACUGUGCUUCUUGGACGAUUCAUGAUCACUGAACUAGAAAUAACGUUUCGACAUUUCACCAAAAGGAAUUAACAAUGGUCUUCUACCUAUAAUAUUUGUAGUCUAACACGUAGAUCUUAACAUUCCUAAAUCAACUUUGAAUCAUAGUAUAGACUUAAGAGAUUGGCUGGAUAAGAUAGAGCCAUAGAGUUCUGCUAUGUUUUAGAUUUGAUCUAUGUUUCGCAAUUUUUUCUCUAAAAAAAUUUUUUUUGAGCCCUCUAUAUAUAUGAGACCCCACCAAUCGGAGGCCCUUUGCAUGUACCUGGUUUGCCUAUGCCUAAGGCCGGCCUUGCAAGAAUCAUAGAUAAUAAAAUGUUAGACAAAAACGAAUAUUCACAUUUGACUAGAGUAACACCUUUAGUAAAAUCCCUAAAUUUAGAAACUCUUCAGGAUGGAAGACUUAAUAAGUAAAGUAGCAAUUAUACAUAAAAUAGAUUGCCUUAGUCAGCCUGCAAAACCAAUGACUUGGCAGAAUUUAAGCCAUUGAUUAACUAGAUUGACCUAGGAACACAUAUUCUUAUUUGAAGCAACGUCUGUAUUAAAUAAGCAUAAUAGCCUACUAAUGUUGAAAGAGGGUUUGCGCCAAUCAACACACAAAAGACAUAAAACAAAAAAGCGCUUGUCUCUCCACGGAUUCAGACAUUUGUCACACAAAGUGGGCAUAUAACGCAGUAUAAAUGUGCAUUGAAUCAUUUAGGUCUACACCUAACUAUGAACCAUUCCUUAAAGUGAUCUCUUUUGUUUGUUUUACAAGUUUUGGAUGUUUCUUGAAGAUAAUUAGAGGCCUACAGGUUAACACGAACGGUGGGGGACAACGGUGGGCAGGGGCAGGGUUCGAACCAAGGGCCAUCGAUACCGCCGAACGGCAAUCCAGAGAGCAUACAACACAACCAGGCUGAGAAAAAUGUGACUUAACAUAGCUAAUGUACAACCUUUGAUUUACUACUAUGUUUGAUCAAAUACAGUAUAAGCCUUUUUUUUUUUUUAAGUUUGUCUUUUUUAUAUGUCCUCUUUCUUGUAGCCUACUCAUCAGUCAGAUAAUUAAAAAAAAAAUGAAAGAUAUUUUUAGAUCUAUAGGUGGAAAUAGACCUACAGUGGCGUAAAUACGGUAGGGGAGGGAGGUCCAAAUUUGAAAAUCCCCCAAGUUUAGGGAGGCCCAAAAAUGAGUGUCCGAAAUUUGUUUUUACAUUAAAUAUUAUACGCUAUUAUCUUGUGUUAUGAUGUCGAAUGUCAAAAUGCAGGGGCGCCAAAAGAGGUCACCCCCCCCCCCCCCCGGGCCCACAAAUCCUUAGCUACGCCACUGGACCUAUAUACACUUCUUGAACUCCAUCACGGAGAUCUAACGUCCCUUAUAUGUAAGAAUUUAGCCUUGAACGUCGCGAUUAGUUGUUGUUGUUUUUUUUUUUUUUAUUGCAUUACAAUUAUUUGUUUCAUUUGUUUGAGUGAUCUGAAAGAGGGCGGGUCAUCUUGUUGACAUUUAAAUUUAUUAUUGACAUUGUUUUUUUAAUUAUUAUUAUUAUUAUUACGUUUAGAGAAGGGAAUAGGCCCAAUCUGGGGCAAAUCUUUGACUUCUCAAAGUAAAACACAUUUAAGUUGACUACUAGAAGUAGAAGGCAAAGCGUAUUGUUUAACGGAAUAAUAUCGGGACUUUCCGCAGAGCAUUACGUUAUCAGAGCAUAUCUGAGUUACUCUAAAAUACUCUAAAUAUCGGUAGUCAACAUAAAAUACACGAUAAAUAAAAAUGCAUAUAUUUAUUUUUGACGACGUUGAGCACAGACGUCGCAAGCGUAAACUUAAAGCUAGAAAAAGACGGCUCAACAGACCGUGGAUUCAUUUACCGCAACGCAUGUAUGUCGUCUACGAAUGGUACAGGAGGUGUCGUAGAUAUAUCACCAUGAAUGUUGUCAGACAGUCAGAGCGCCAGAGACAAGAGGGGCGAUUUCACGAAUUGUUCCAAAGAGUUGAGGGCCUCUUGAAAAUACUCUUUACGAUCGGGAUCUACCUCAUGCUCGGAGCCGCCUUGUGGUUUUGGCUUUCUGACAUUCUACCAUCAGCCAACACAAUUAUAUUAACUAAAAAUCUGAUACUAGAUUUCUUUCUUUUAUUCUUUUGGGGUGGGGGGUUUUAAGUGGUUAAUGUAACAGUAAAAAAAAAAAAAAGUGGACUAAUCAUUAACAACAUGCACAACCAUUGUAGACAAUAAUGAACAAUAAUGUAAAUUGAAAACUAUGUCUUUUAUUGAUGUAUAGCUAAUGUGUUGCUCAUUGAUUAAAGACUUAGGCUCGAAUGUCGUGUAAAGCUGCGUUUAUUAUAACAGGAAAUGUGUCUCGUGUCAACUUGUGUCUCAAGUUUUUAGUUGGUACGUCACAUUUCUUGGGGGAGGGGGGGAUAAAGGCGGUUCGCGGUUUACUGGUCACCUGGCAACCUUAUAAGCAGUGGCGUAGCUAGGGUAGGGAGAGGAGGUCCUAAUUCGAAAGUCCCCCUGGGCCCCCACUUGAGGAAAACAUUCAAAUGAAUUUCCUAAUUUUUUUUACAUUAAAUAUUACGCCACUGCCAUGUAAUCUUGCUGUUCAAGUGGAGUCAAAAUACUAGACAGCAUUAUAUUCUAGAUGAUGUUAUAGAUGACCUUUGCUGCACAGAAAGCACGACGUGAGGCAAUUUGAAUUGAGAUUUGUCACUUGUGCAUUAUCUCGCCCAUAAAAAAAAAACAAAAACGGUAGGCCUAUUAGUCAUUAAAAGAGUCUUAAUGAUUUUUUUUUAAAAUUUUACUUACAUACUGUACCAAUUGGAAUUUAGACAUAUAUUUGUUAAUAAGUUCAUUAUCUCAUAUGACGUCGAAUGUCAAAAUGCAGGGGCCCCUAAAAUGGCCAAGCGCCCCGCGCCCCCAAAUCCCUAGCUACAUAUCACUGCUUAUAAGCAUAUGUAACAAAGAAAUAGUUGAUCAUUGCUUAAAUUGUGUUGGUAAAAGUGGGCAACGUGGCGAUAGAUUGACCACCCAUACACGAGUUCAAAGAUUUUCUUUGGCCGAAGCUUAAACUAUAAUAGGCUCAGUCUUUAAUAGUUCAUCGUGUUUACUUUCUUUUAUACUGAUUAUAAUAGUUUAUUGUGUUUAAACUUAUACUGAGUAUAAUAGUUUAUUGUGUUUAAACUUAUACUGAGUAUAAUAGUUCAUUGUGUUUAAACUUAUACUGAUUAUAAUAGUUCAUUGUGUUUAAACUUAUACUGAUUAUAAUAGUUCAUUGUGUUUAAACUUAUACUGAUUAUAAUAGUUCAUUGCGUUAACUUAUACUGAUUAUAAUAGUUCAUUGUGUUUAACGUAUGCUGAUUAUAAUAGGUUAUUGUGUUUAACUUAUACUGAUUAUAAUAGUUCAUUGUGUUUAUAUUAUUUUAUACCGAUUGUUUAAUUAAACACGUUUGUUUUGUUUUUUUCUGAUAUUAUUACCAAUUACAUUUUUUUGCAAAAGUUUUGUAGUAAGCUAGUCUUCUUUAAGUUUUAAAGUGUGGUAGAUUUUUCGCUAAUUUGGGACCAGGUUUACAUUCAAAAGACAUCGUUUUAGUUUUUAACCAUUAUAAUGUACAAGGGGAGAGAAAAAAAAGAGAAGAGAAGGCGAUGUUUAAAAGUGUGGGGGUGGUGUUAUGGACUCUAAAGAGAAAUGUGAGAGAUUGAAAAAAAAAUGUUUGGGUGGGAGCGAUUUUGAAAUAAAUAGAAAAAAAAACAAUGUCAAAGGACGCUAAAUCGAACGAUUACUAUUGCCAAACAGUUAAUUGCACUGUAACAUGAGCGAAAGCGCUUAGAAUUUUUAUUCUACAUUGUUAAAAGUGGAACAGAAUUAUGAUAUGCUUUUAAAAUUGAAUAGCUAUAACCGUACUUCCGAAUUUUUUACACCGAAUAUGUCUUACUAGCUAUUUAUAGGCUUGCCUACAUUUAUCAUUUUUAAAGCUAAUUAUAAUAAUAAUAUAUUAUUAUUAUAGUGUUUGCAAUCAUCAAUAUUUUCUUUCUGAACACAUUUUCUAAUCACAAUUUAUCAGCAUUUAAAUUGACUUCCCAAUUUUUCUUCCUAACUGUUCUUCCAAA
Biomphalaria glabrata is the source of this 5173-nucleotide long non-coding RNA. RefSeq lists it as uncharacterized. The record is from RefSeq and is a predicted model, not a curated record. NCBI's taxonomy places the organism in Eukaryota, Metazoa, Mollusca, Gastropoda, Planorbidae. The transcript is spliced from 2 exons.